UACGGGGGGGGCAAGCGUUGUUCGGAAUUACUGGGCGUAAAGGGCUCGUAGGUGGCCAACUAAGUCAGACGUGAAAUUCCUCGGCUUAACCGGGGAACUGCAUCUGAUACUGGAUGGCUUGAGUUUGGGAGAGGGAUGCGGAAUUCCAGGUGUAGCGGUGAAAUGCGUAGAUAUCUGGAGGAACACCGGUGGCGAAGGCGGCAUCCUGGACCAACACUGACACUGAGGAGCGAAAGCCAGGGGAGCAAACGGG
RNAcentral lists this ribosomal RNA (253 nucleotides) under uncultured bacterium. RNAcentral's name for it is "partial 16S ribosomal RNA". It matches the Rfam family "Bacterial small subunit ribosomal RNA", at positions 524 to 776 of the family's 1533-position model. The record is from RNAcentral.